GGUGCCGUGUUACGUCCAGGCCCAGGUUCAGGGCGUGACACUCAUAAUUUCAGUAGUGAACAUUGGAAUGCUCUUCAUCAUUUGUUAAGGGCAAGAAGCUGAGUUGUUGAGAAACCUUUUAGCAGAUGUGCCAUUGUAGGGAAGACAAACUUCACCGGUCUCUUUACAUUGUGAUUCACAAGUGGCAAUUGAAUUGCAAAGAACUGUGUAUACGAUGGAAAACUGAGACAUAUUCGCAUCAGACAUGGUGCAGUUAAACAGUUGUUAAAACAUGGUGUUAUCUCCUUGGAAUAUGUAAGAUAUGAAAGAAAUUUAGCGGAUCCUUUAACCAAGGGUUUAGCAAGGUAAAUGAUCCUUGAAACGUCGAGGGGGAUGGGGCUAAAGCCUAUGGAUUGAGGUAAUAUGGUGGAUGCCUGUUUGUGGUCAAACGAAGCCAUAUAGGCCAUCAAUAUACACUAAAUUUCCUAUCCCUGUGGCGUAUAGUGGUGUUUAUAAGGUUGACGAUUUUAUUUUUUUUGCUCUUAAUGAUUCCAUAGUCUUAAGGUGGUCUAUGAGAUAGACUUGAUGGAAUCACUUACGUGAGUGUAAAGGUGUGGUCACCUUUUAUGAAAGACUUUCAUUAACCCAAGGAUGUGUGCAUGACCAUAAAAGCACUUUUGUGAGUAUCGCGGAGUUUGCAUAAAAUUAAGGAUAUAGUAUAUAUUGUGGGCGUCUCAACUCAUGUCCAUUUAGUUUGAGUACUUCACUUUUUGGAUAUUUGUUUUGCCUCAUUUCGCUACGUGUUAAUUUAAAUUGAAAGAUAUUAACACUUAAGUACAUGUUCCUUCUUUUGUCCAGAAAUUAUUCCCAUUCUUUAUCUUUGCA
Long non-coding RNA from Lycium ferocissimum, 864 nucleotides. RefSeq lists it as uncharacterized. The transcript has 2 exons. The record is from RefSeq and is a predicted model, not a curated record. NCBI's taxonomy places the organism in Eukaryota, Viridiplantae, Streptophyta, Magnoliopsida, Solanales, Solanaceae.